GAGUUUGAUCCUGGCUCAGGAUGAACGCUGGCGGCGUGCUUAACACAUGCAAGUCGAACGAAGCGCUUAAGAAUGAUUCUUCGGAUGAAGUCUUUUGUGACUUAGUGGCGGACGGGUGAGUAACGCGUGGGUAACCUGCCUCACACAGGGGGAUAACAGUUGGAAACGACCGCUAAUACCACAUAACCCGCUGGUGCCGCAUGGCACUGACGGAAAAGAUUUAUCGGUGUGAGAUGGACCCGCGUCUGAUUAGCCAGUUGGCAGGGUAACGGCCUACCAAAGCGACGAUCAGUAGCCGGCCUGAGAGGGUGAACGGCCACAUUGGGACUGAGACACGGCCCAAACUCCUACGGGAGGCAGCAGUGGGGAAUAUUGCACAAUGGGGGAAACCCUGAUGCAGCGACGCCGCGUGAGUGAAGAAGUAUUUCGGUAUGUAAGGCUCUAUCAGCAGGGAAGAAAAUGACGGUACCUGACCAAGAAGCCCCGGCUAACUACGUGCCAGCAGCCGCGGUAAUACGUAGGGGGCAAGCGUUAUCCGGAUUUACUGGGUGUAAAGGGAGCGUAGACGGUGAUGCAAGUCAGAAGUGAAAGCCCGGGGCUCAACUCCGGGACUGCUUUUGAAACUGUGUAACUGGAGUGCA
This 641-nucleotide ribosomal RNA is filed under the name uncultured bacterium. RNAcentral describes it as "bacterial SSU rRNA". It matches the Rfam family "Bacterial small subunit ribosomal RNA", at positions 9 to 650 of the family's 1533-position model. The record is from RNAcentral.